This 254-nucleotide ribosomal RNA is filed under the name uncultured bacterium. Its description in RNAcentral is "partial 16S ribosomal RNA". It matches the Rfam family "Bacterial small subunit ribosomal RNA", at positions 524 to 776 of the family's 1533-position model. The record is from RNAcentral.
GACGUAGGGUGCAAGCGUUUGUCCGGAUUUACUGGGCGUAAAGCGCGCGUAGGCGGUCUGUUAAGUGUAGAGUGAAAGCUCCGGGCUCAACCCGGAAAUUGCUCUGCAUACUGGCAGACUUGAGGGAUGCAGAGGUUUGUGGAAUUCCUGGUGUAACGGUGAAAUGUGUUGAUAUCAGGAGGAACACCCAUGGCGAAGGCAGCAAACUGGGCAUCAUCUGACGCUGAGGCGCGAAAGCGUGGGUAGCAAACAGG